UUACCGAGUUUACAACUCCCAAACCCAAUGUGAACCAUACCAAACUGUUGCCUCGGCGGGGUCACGCCCCGGGUGCGUCGCAGCCCCGGAACCAGGCGCCCGCCGGAGGGACCAACCAAACUCUUUUCUGUAGUCCCCUCGCGGACGUUAUUUCUUACAGCUCUGAGCAAAAAUUCAAAAUGAAUCAAAACUUUCAACAACGGAUCUCUUGGUUCUGGCAUCGAUGAAGAACGCAGCGAAAUGCGAUAAGUAAUGUGAAUUGCAGAAUUCAGUGAAUCAUCGAAUCUUUGAACGCACAUUGCGCCCGCCAGUAUUCUGGCGGGCAUGCCUGUCCGAGCGUCAUUUCAACCCUCGAACCCCUCCGGGGGGUCGGCGUUGGGGAUCGGGAACCCCUAAGACGGGAUCCCGGCCCCGAAAUACAGUGGCGGUCUCGCCGCAGCCUCUCCUGCGCAGUAGUUUGCACAACUCGCACCGGGAGCGCGGCGCGUCCACGUCCGUAAAACACCCAACUUCUGAAAUGUUGACCUCGGAUCAGGUAGGAAUACCCGCUGAACUUAAGCAUAUCAAUAAGCGGAGGAA
This 579-nucleotide ribosomal RNA is filed under the name Trichoderma sp. MAB-2010c. RNAcentral describes it as "eukaryotic LSU rRNA". The stretch from base 189 to 342 matches the Rfam family "5.8S ribosomal RNA". The record is from RNAcentral. Lineage: Eukaryota; Fungi; Ascomycota; Sordariomycetes; Hypocreales; Hypocreaceae.